RNAcentral lists this ribosomal RNA (90 nucleotides) under Enterobacter cloacae. The record is from RNAcentral. RNAcentral also lists the same sequence under 2 other names. Lineage: Bacteria; Pseudomonadati; Pseudomonadota; Gammaproteobacteria; Enterobacterales; Enterobacteriaceae.
GCGGUGGUCCCACCUGACCCCAUGCCGAACUCAGAAGUGAAACGCCGUAGCGCCGAUGGUAGUGUGGGGUCUCCCCAUGUGAGAGUAGGG